RNAcentral lists this ribosomal RNA (549 nucleotides) under uncultured Glomeromycotina. RNAcentral describes it as "SSU rRNA". It matches the Rfam family "Eukaryotic small subunit ribosomal RNA", at positions 548 to 1098 of the family's 1831-position model. The record is from RNAcentral. Lineage: Eukaryota; Fungi; Glomeromycota.
UUGGAGGGCAAGUCUGGUGCCAGCAGCCGCGGUAAUUCCAGCUCCAAUAGCGUAUAUUAAAGUUGUUGCAGUUAAAAAGCUCGUAGUUGAAUUUCGGGAUCAAUUUAUCGGUCGUGCCUCUGGUAUGCACUGGUAUUAUUGAUUUCUACCUUCUGACGAACCAUGAUGUCAUUAAUUUGGUGUCAUGGGAAAUCAGGACUGUUACUUUGAAAAAAUUAGAGUGUUUAAAGCAAGCACACGCUUGAAUACAUUAGCAUGGAAUAAUGAAAUAGGACGUUUGACCCUAUUUUGUUGGUUUCUAGGAUCGACGUAAUGAUUAAUAGGGAUAGUUGGGGGCAUUAGUAUUCAAUUGUCAGAGGUGAAAUUCUUGGAUUUAUUGAAGACUAACUACUGCGAAAGCAUUUGCCAAGGAUGUUUUCAUUAAUCAAGAACGAAAGUUAGGGGAUCGAAGACGAUCAGAUACCGUCGUAGUCUUAACCAUAAACUAUGCCGACUAGGGAUCGGAUGAUGUUAAUUUUUUAAUGACUCAUUCGGCGCCUUACGGGAAAC